AUUAGUUCAACCUUUAAUGACGUGCGUAAACUGGCUUUCACUUGGGACUACUGCAACGUGGUGUAACGUUGAGUAGUGGUUGGGCCUGUCGCAACGUGGUGUAACGUUGGACAAUAUUGUGGUACUUUGUGACUGUUAUUUAUUUACUCUUUAUUUACUUAAUUACCUUUAUUCAAUUUAAUCACUGUUAUUUAUUCAAAUGCUGCUUUAUUGCAACUAACCCUAGCCCAUCCUUGUUGAUCCUUAUGCAUCAUUUAUUACUGUCUUUUCCGUGCUGCUUGUUGAGUAUGGUGGUUUGUACUCAGUCUUGCCUAAUUUCCCACUCCAGAGUUAGGAGUUGAGUCCGAUGGAGGUGACUCUCAGGAGUGAGCUGUUCCGUCGUCGAAGCGUUGCCUAUGGACUGGAGCCGUACCCGCUGGAGCUAGUCUCCCUAUCUUUCCGCUGCAUUUUAGCUAGAAUAAGUGUUAUUUUCAGUUGUUUCUAAGAACGAUUGUUAUGUAAUCAACAUUGUUUUUUGUGUACCCUGGCUGGUCCUGGACAGGGAUUUUAAUACACAAUUAAGUUUAGAAAUUCUUGUGGGAAAAUUCUGGGCGCAUAUUUCAGAUUGUGAGAUCUAAAUCAGAAUAAAGACUUAAAGCAGUAGCAAAACAAUUUACGUUACAUACAAACAAAUGUCUUGCAAAAGACAGGUUACUGCUAACGGCUAUAUUUCCUAUUUGCAGGUCAAAGGUCCGAACUAUGGAGUCGGCACCGGCUUCAGCCUCCUCCACUAACGCCAACACCUUCUUCGAGUCGCAAUCGGCUAUAAAUCUUCGACGGUGGCUAAAAAGACUACCCAAGGGCAAAGGGACUUCAUUAUGGCGAAGGCUUGAUGAGCUGCAAUCAUCGCCAUGUCCCUCACCUCGUCGGCCACGUGCCUGGGUACCUCUUUAAAGCAUCUCAAGGAUUUUAUUGGGUGGCAUGGAGCUGAAGCUAGUCGCCAUAGUCUCGAAUGGCCCGAAGAUCACCAAAAGGCGCAACAACAAACUAGUCCCAAGUAGCUUUGACUACAUUAAGUUGGGCCUCGAGGUUGCCUAUUGUGGCACAGGUGCUCUAUCGCGCCGAAUCUCCCAAAUCGCCGAACUAAAACAAUUCGAUCGCUUCAAAUCUCCAAAAUCGACUAAGUGUUACUAUGUCCCCCGUGGGCCUAGCGGACCGAUGUGUAAAACUCAGUGCUGACAUAGUUGAUACCAUGUCAAUGAGAACG
This 1246-nucleotide long non-coding RNA is filed under the name Oryza brachyantha (malo sina). Its description in RNAcentral is "long non-coding RNA (OBRA_LNC000836)". The record is from RNAcentral. Lineage: Eukaryota; Viridiplantae; Streptophyta; Magnoliopsida; Poales; Poaceae.